This 545-nucleotide ribosomal RNA is filed under the name uncultured Glomeromycotina. RNAcentral's name for it is "SSU rRNA". It matches the Rfam family "Eukaryotic small subunit ribosomal RNA", at positions 548 to 1098 of the family's 1831-position model. Lineage: Eukaryota; Fungi; Glomeromycota. The record is from RNAcentral.
UUGGAGGGCAAGUCUGGUGCCAGCAGCCGCGGUAAUUCCAGCUCCAAUAGCGUAUAUUAAAGUUGUUGCAGUUAAAAAGCUCGUAGUUGAAUUUCGGGAUCAGAGUGUCGGUCGUGCCUCGGUACGCACUGGUAUUAUUGGUUCCUACCUUCUGAAGAACCGCGAUGUCAUUAAUUUGGUGUCGUGGGGAAUCAGGACUGUUACUUUGAAAAAAUUAGAGUGUUUAAAGCAGGCUUACGCUUGAAUACAUUAGCAUGGAAUAAUGAAAUAGGACGUUUGAUUCUAUUUUGUUGGUUUCUAGGAUUGACGUAAUGAUUAAUAGGGAUAGUUGGGGGCAUUAGUAUUCAAUUGUCAGAGGUGAAAUUCUUGGAUUUAUUGAAGACUAACUACUGCGAAAGCAUUUGCCAAGGAUGUUUUCAUUAAUCAAGAACGAAAGUUAGGGGAUCGAAGACGAUCAGAUACCGUCGUAGUCUUAACCAUAAACUAUGCCGACUAGGGAUCGGAUGAUGUUAAUAUUUAAUGACUCAUUCGCGCCUUACGGAAAC